RNAcentral lists this transfer RNA (67 nucleotides) under Bifidobacterium bifidum. Its description in RNAcentral is "tRNA-OTHER". It matches the Rfam family "tRNA". Rfam says of the family: Transfer RNA (tRNA) molecules are approximately 80 nucleotides in length. Their secondary structure includes four short double-helical elements and three loops (D, anti-codon, and T loops). Lineage: Bacteria; Bacillati; Actinomycetota; Actinomycetes; Bifidobacteriales; Bifidobacteriaceae. The record is from RNAcentral.
GGUUCCGUAGCUCAACUGGACAGAGCAUGCAUGGGCAUGGAUGGCGGUUCGAAUCCGCCCGGAGCCA